AUUGAGGUCGGGUUGAUCCACCAAGGCUUUUCCCCAAGUGGCACAUAGUAAAAAAUGCCUCAUAGGGUAACUCUGUGGUUUUGCUUUACUCAAGGACUAUUAGAUCUGUGGGAAGGAACUGGAACAGAGUU
This is a small nucleolar RNA of Spermophilus dauricus (Daurian ground squirrel), 131 nucleotides long. The record is from Ensembl. Lineage: Eukaryota; Metazoa; Chordata; Mammalia; Rodentia; Sciuridae.